CAAGAAUAUCCAUCUAGACCAAUUUCUUUUAGUUUGCACACUAACCUGUUGUGAGUAACCGUAUCAAAUGCAUUGGCAAAAAUCCAAGUAGAUCACAUCCACUGCAACACCCUGAUCUAUACUUCUACUUACUUCUUCUUAGAAUACACUUGGGUUAGUUUGACAUGACCUAUGUUUCAGAAAACCAUGCUGAUUAUUGCUAAUAAAGUUGUUCCCAAUGAAUUCCUGAAUAUUAUCCCUUAAUAGCCCUUCAAAUAUUUUCCCAGUUACAGAAGUUAAGCCCACACGUCUAUAAUUUCCAGGCAAGGAUUUUGAACCCUUUUAAAAUACAGGAACAUCUGCCUUCCUCCG
Molecule: non-coding RNA, 351 nt
Organism: Pelobates cultripes (western spadefoot toad)
Lineage: Eukaryota; Metazoa; Chordata; Amphibia; Anura; Pelobatidae
Source: the annotation of a GenBank genome assembly